UAAAAAGCUCGUAGUUGGAUCUGUGUUUCGGACGGUCGGUUCGCCGCUCGCGGCGUUCAACUGGCCGGUCCGUACGUCCUGCCGGUGGGCGGGGCUGGGGCGCGAGCCUCGGCCCCCGCCCGACAAAAUCCCUCCGCUGCUGCUCUUCACCGGGUGGUGCGGCGGGCCGGCACGUUUACUUUGAACAAAUCCGAGUGCUUAAAGCAGGCUGCUUGUCGCCUGAAGGUUGAGUGCAUGGAAUAAUGGAAUAGGACCUCUGUUCUAUUUUGUUGGCUUUUCUGAACCAGAGGUAAUGAUUAAUAGGGACAGACGGGGGCAUUCGUAUUGCGGCGUUAGAGGUGAAAUUCUUGGAUCGUCGCAAGACGUACCGAUGCGAAAGCGUUUGCCAAGAAUGUUUUCGCUAAUCAAGAACGAAAGUUAGAGGUUCGAAGGCGAUCAGAUACCGCCCUAGUUCUAACCAUAAACGAUGCCAGCCAGCGAUGCGCCGACGUUCCUCCGAUGACUCGGCGCGCAGCUUCCCGGGAAACCAAAGCUUUUGAGUUCCGGGG
Molecule: ribosomal RNA, 548 nt
Filed under: Uracanthella punctisetae
Lineage: Eukaryota; Metazoa; Arthropoda; Insecta; Ephemeroptera; Ephemerellidae
Description: bacterial SSU rRNA
Rfam family: Eukaryotic small subunit ribosomal RNA
Source: RNAcentral